Molecule: ribosomal RNA, 253 nt
Filed under: uncultured bacterium
Lineage: Bacteria
Description: partial 16S ribosomal RNA
Rfam family: Bacterial small subunit ribosomal RNA
Source: RNAcentral
UACGGAGGGGGCAAGCGUUAUUCGGAAUUAUUGGGCGUAAAGGGCGCGUAGGCGGCUAGAUGUGUCAAAGGUGAAAUCCCUCGGCUCCACUGAGGAACUGCCUUUGAAACUGUCUGGCUUGAGGCCGGGAGAGGGUAGCGGAAUUCCCAGUGUAGCGGUGAAAUGCGUAGAUAUUGGGAGGAACACCAGUGGCGAAGGCGGCUACCUGGACCGGUUCUGACGCUGAGGCGCGAAAGCGUGGGUAGCAAACAGG